AGUGAACGCUGGCGGUAGGCCUAACACAUGCAAGUCGAACGGCAGCACAGUAAGAGCUUGCUCUUACGGGUGGCGAGUGGCGGACGGGUGAGGAAUACAUCGGAAUCUACUUUUUCGUGGGGGAUAACGUAGGGAAACUUACGCUAAUACCGCAUACGACCUACGGGUGAAAGCAGGGGAUCUUCGGACCUUGCGCGAUUGAAUGAGCCGAUGUCGGAUUAGCUAGUUGGCGGGGUAAAGGCCCACCAAGGCGACGAUCCGUAGCUGGUCUGAGAGGAUGAUCAGCCACACUGGAACUGAGACACGGUCCAGACUCCUACGGGAGGCAGCAGUGGGGAAUAUUGGACAAUGGGCGCAAGCCUGAUCCAGCCAUACCGCGUGGGUGAAGAAGGCCUUCUGGUUGUAAAGCCCUUUUGUUGGGAAAGAAAAGCAGCAGGUUAAUACCCCGCUGUUCUGACGGUACCCAAAGAAUAAGCACCGGCUAACUUCGUG
RNAcentral lists this ribosomal RNA (492 nucleotides) under uncultured bacterium. Its description in RNAcentral is "partial 16S ribosomal RNA". It matches the Rfam family "Bacterial small subunit ribosomal RNA", at positions 29 to 507 of the family's 1533-position model. The record is from RNAcentral.